Molecule: ribosomal RNA, 613 nt
Filed under: uncultured bacterium
Lineage: Bacteria
Description: bacterial SSU rRNA
Rfam family: Bacterial small subunit ribosomal RNA
Source: RNAcentral
CCUACGGGAGGCAGCAGUGGGGAAUUUUGGACAAUGGGCGCAAGCCUGAUCCAGCAAUGCCGCGUGCAGGAUGAAGGCCUUCGGGCUGUAAACUGCUUUUGUACGGAACGAAACGGUGAGCUCUAAUACAGUUUGCUAAUGACGGUACCGUAAGAAUAAGCACCGGCUAACUACGUGCCAGCAGCCGCGGUAAUACGUAGGGUGCGAGCGUUAAUCGGAAUUACUGGGCGUAAAGCGUGCGCGGGCGGUGAUGUAAGACAGAUGUGAAAUGCCCGGGCUCAACCUGGGACCUGCAUUUGUGACUGCAUCGCUAGAGUACGGUAGAGGGGGAUGGAAUUCCGCGUGUAGCAGUGAAAUGCGUAGAUAUGCGGAGGAACACCGAUGGCGAAGGCAAUCCCCUGGACCUGUACUGACGCUCAUGCACGAAAGCGUGGGGAGCAAACAGGAUUAGAUACCCUGGUAGUCCACGCCCUAAACGAUGUCAACUGGUUGUUGGGUCUUCACUGACUCAGUAACGAAGCUAACGCGUGAAGUUGACCGCCUGGGGAGUACGGCCGCGAAGGUUGAAACGUCAAAGAUAGUAGCGNGNGNGNGNGNGAGACGNGAGGAGGNG